CAGCAGCCGCGGUAAUACGGAGGGUGCAAGCGUUAAUCGGAAUUACUGGGCGUAAAGCGCACGCAGGCGGUCUGUCAAGUCGGAUGUGAAAUCCCUGAGCUUAACUUAGGAAUUGCAUUCGAUACUGGGAAGCUAGAGUAUGGGAGAGGAUGGUAGAAUUCCAGGUGUAGCGGUGAAAUGCGUAGAGAUCUGGAGGAAUACCGAUGGCGAAGGCAGCCAUCUGGCCUAAUACUGACGCUGAGGUACGAAAGCAUGGGGAGCAAACAGGAUUAGAUACCCGCGUAGUCCCUGUCUCUUAUAC
Molecule: ribosomal RNA, 301 nt
Filed under: uncultured bacterium
Lineage: Bacteria
Description: partial 16S ribosomal RNA
Rfam family: Bacterial small subunit ribosomal RNA
Source: RNAcentral